Molecule: ribosomal RNA, 497 nt
Filed under: uncultured bacterium
Lineage: Bacteria
Description: partial 16S ribosomal RNA
Rfam family: Bacterial small subunit ribosomal RNA
Source: RNAcentral
GAUGAACGCUGGCGGCGUGCCUAAUACAUGCAAGUCGAGCGAACGGACGAGAAGCUUGCUUCUCUGAUGUUAGCGGCGGACGGGUGAGUAACACGUGGAUAACCUACCUAUAAGACUGGGAUAACUUCGGGAAACCGUAGCUAAUACCGGAUAAUAUUUUGAACCGCAUGGUUCAAAAGUGAAAGACGGUCUUGCUGUCACUUAUAGAUGGAUCCGCGCUGCAUUAGCUAGUUGGUAAGGUAACGGCUUACCAAGGCAACGAUGCAUAGCCGACCUGAGAGGGUGAUCAGCCACACUGGAACUGAGACACGGUCCAGACUCCUACGGGAGGCAGCAGUAGGGAAUCUUCCGCAAUGGGCGAAAGCCUGACGGAGCAACGCCGCGUGAGUGAAGAAGGUCUUCGGAUCGUAAAACUCUUUUAUUAGGGAAGAACAUAUGUGUAAGUAACUGUGCACAUCUUGACGGUACCUAAUCAGAAAGCCACGGCUAACUACGUG